This 167-nucleotide ribosomal RNA is filed under the name uncultured rumen bacterium. RNAcentral describes it as "partial 16S ribosomal RNA". It matches the Rfam family "Bacterial small subunit ribosomal RNA", at positions 340 to 524 of the family's 1533-position model. The record is from RNAcentral.
UACGGGAGGCAGCAGUGGGGAAUAUUGCACAAUGGGGGAAACCCUGAUGCAGCGACGCCGCGUGAGUGAAGAAGUAUUUCGGUAUGUAAAGCUCUAUCAGCAGGGAAGAAAAUGACGGUACCUGACUAAGAAGCCCCGGCUAACUACGUGCCAGCAGCCGCGGUAAU